Molecule: non-coding RNA, 455 nt
Organism: Dermacentor albipictus
Lineage: Eukaryota; Metazoa; Arthropoda; Arachnida; Ixodida; Ixodidae
Source: RefSeq, a predicted model, not a curated record
UCGAUCUCACCCACGACGAGAAUGUAUGGAACAUUAUAUCUUCGACAACAGCAUCUUUCUACCGAGUAAGCAUGGAUCAAGUGGUCGUUCAGAGAUGCUUGGCUGCCAGGACGCUUGCCAGUGCACAGAGGACUGCUCUCAUAGGCUCCUUCCUAUUGGUUGCUGCAUAUGUUAUUCAGUUAUCCAUGUCAAUCGCCUUGGUACUUUGGUUUCGGGGCUGUGACCCUCAACUUUCAGGUGCAGUCAAGAGCUACGACCAAAUUUUGCCGUUUUACGUUAAGACAUACCUUGUGCAUUUUCCUGGAUUCACCGGGAUUUUCCUCGCUGCCAUUGUGAGCGCCGCCACAAGCUCCAUAUCAUCAAUCAUAAAUUCUUUGGCCACAGUCAUAUAUAUGGACAUCCUACCUGCUUAUUUCAAGGAAAAUUCACAUAUCCGCUUAGUAACGCAAUCUCUA